This 481-nucleotide long non-coding RNA is filed under the name Oryza sativa Indica Group (long-grained rice). RNAcentral's name for it is "lncRNA OsZS97_08G007010". The record is from RNAcentral. Lineage: Eukaryota; Viridiplantae; Streptophyta; Magnoliopsida; Poales; Poaceae.
CCCGGGUGAAAUGCUACAAUGGUAUAUCCGUGCGCUUGCGGAUCAUAUCUGUAACCAUAAUAUAACAGGAUUAUUUCUAGUGCUAUUGCUGGGAAUUAUAUUUCCAAUAGUGUUGCUAAGAAAUACCAACAAAGUGCUCAUGUCCACCGCGUCAUGCACGAUUGCGAACGCGUGGCCGGUGACAGCGGCAACGGUGGGCAUUGGGAGUGCAACGAGGUCGGCAACCAGUCCCGAGGGGCACCGCCUAUGGAGACAAAGCCAUUGGAGAAGCACUUCUCCUUGGUGGCAAUCACUGGUGCACUGGCACCCACAGUGGCGCAGACAUGAGGGCCAGGCCAAGGCAGUGCUCGCCGGCACAAGUGAGGGUGAUGACUUGGACAUACGGGGCUACACUUCUCCACAGUGCACAAGCUCGCCGUGUCCAUUUGCCUUACUUGAAGUGAGUGUUCUAAAGAAACAUUCUCUAUUCAAUGUGGAUUAG